GACGAACGCUGGCGGCGUGCUUAACACAUGCAAGUCGAACGAAGUGGCGAACGGGUGAGUACCGCGUAAUCAACCUGCCCUUCAAAGGGGGACAACAGUUGGAAACGAAUGCUAAUACCGCAUACUGAAGGAGGGGCUUGCGUCUGCUUAGCUAGUUGGAGGGGUAACGGCCCACCAAGGCGAUGAUCAGUAGCCGGGCGUGGAUGAUGAACGGCCAAAUUGGGACUGAGACACGGCCCAGACUCCUACGGGAGCAAGCAGUGGGGAAUCUGCCGCAAUGGACGAAAGGCUGACGGAGCAACGCCGCGGGAGUGAGGACGGCCUUCGGGUUGUAAAGCUCUGUUAAGCGGGACGCGGUACCGGAAUAGAAAGCCACGGCUAACGACGUGCCAGCAGCCGCGGUAAUAC
RNAcentral lists this ribosomal RNA (408 nucleotides) under uncultured bacterium. RNAcentral describes it as "partial 16S ribosomal RNA". It matches the Rfam family "Bacterial small subunit ribosomal RNA", at positions 28 to 526 of the family's 1533-position model. The record is from RNAcentral.